Molecule: long non-coding RNA, 432 nt
Organism: Episyrphus balteatus (marmalade hoverfly)
Lineage: Eukaryota; Metazoa; Arthropoda; Insecta; Diptera; Syrphidae
Exons: 2
Source: RefSeq, a predicted model, not a curated record
UUGGCUAUGUCUGUCUUUAUUUUUUUUUCUUUUCUCUUUUUUCACCACGAUUCUCGUUCGACUUUGUGUUCAUACACAAAAAGUUGCAAGUGUGUGAGUGCAACCCCGAUUUUCGCGGUCUGAGGUCGGAGUUUCUUUGUUGAACUCAGUUUUCUUGCUUGAAGGGUUGUUUUUGCUAAAAUAAUUUUAAAAAUAUUAAGGUUCUUUAAAAAAUAUACAAAAAAUAAUUGAAUAAUUACCAAUUUUGUUGGAAAUUCUUCAAUAAUUACAGCUCACUUUAAGUUUCGGGUUAGUUUAUGGUGUGGAAAAGGAUUCUGUUGAUGUAGAAGUUUGUCUACAUAGAAUGUUGUAUGAUGUAUCAACGAUUGGUGAUGAAUAGCUUGUGUUAAUUUUUUACUUUCACUUUCGGAUGAAAGUUGUGCACAGAGCUGC